CCUAUGUUGCCAGCGGAUAAUGCCGGGGACUCAUGGGGGACUGCCGGUGAUAAACCGGAGGAAGGUGGGGAUGACGUCAAGUCAUCAUGGCCCUUACGCCCAGGGCUACACACGUGCUACAAUGGCCGGUACAAAGGGCUGCAAUCUCGCGAGGGUGAGCGAAUCCCAAAAAGCCGGUCCAAGUUCGGAUUGUAGUCUGCAACUCGACUGCAUGAAGGCGGAAUCGCUAGUAAUCGUGAAUCAGCUACNUCACGGUGAAUACNUUCCCGGGCCUUGNACACA
Molecule: ribosomal RNA, 282 nt
Filed under: uncultured bacterium
Lineage: Bacteria
Description: partial 16S ribosomal RNA
Rfam family: Bacterial small subunit ribosomal RNA
Source: RNAcentral